UGGGGAAUCUUGCGCAAUGGACGAAAGUCUGACGCAGCCACGCCGCGUGAGUGAAGAAGGCCUUCGGGUUGUAAAGCUCUGUCGCCCGGGACGAACAGCUUAUGGGUUAACAGCCCAUGAGUCUGACGGUACCGGGAAAGGAAGCACCGGCUAACUCCGUGCCAGCAGCCGCGGUAAUACGGAGGGUGCAAGCGUUGCUCGGAAUUAUUGGGCGUAAAGGGUAGGUAGGUGGUCUCAUUUGUCCGGGGUGAAAUCCUUGAGCUUAACUCAAGAAGUGCCCUGGAAACGGUGAGACUGGAGUACUGGAGAGGGUCGUAGAAUUCCCGGUGUAGCGGUGAAAUGCGUAGAGAUCGGGAGGAAUACCAGAGGCGAAGGCGGCGACCUGGACAGUUACUGACACUCAACUACGAAAGCGUGGGGAGCAAACAGG
This 430-nucleotide ribosomal RNA is filed under the name uncultured bacterium. RNAcentral's name for it is "bacterial SSU rRNA". It matches the Rfam family "Bacterial small subunit ribosomal RNA", at positions 355 to 776 of the family's 1533-position model. The record is from RNAcentral.